Molecule: long non-coding RNA, 138 nt
Organism: Cyprinodon tularosa
Lineage: Eukaryota; Metazoa; Chordata; Actinopteri; Cyprinodontiformes; Cyprinodontidae
Exons: 3
Source: RefSeq, a predicted model, not a curated record
GAGUCUUUCCUGGUUCUCAUGUUUACUUGAAGCAGGUAAAGAACAGGGAACAGAAGCUCAGGAUCCAUUUGGUCUCUGAAGAACAGGAGGAUUAAAACAGCUUUCUGUCAGAAAUUAAAGAGAAAAGAUGGAGAGUGA